Molecule: long non-coding RNA, 240 nt
Filed under: Homo sapiens (human)
Lineage: Eukaryota; Metazoa; Chordata; Mammalia; Primates; Hominidae
Source: RNAcentral
CCUAAUCAAGCCUGGGCAAUGGCGGGCGCCCCUACCCCAGCCUGGCUGCCGCCUUGCAGUUUGAUCUCAGACUGCUGUGCUAGCAAUCAGCGAGACUCCGUGGGCGUGGGACCCUCCGAGCCAGACAGGGCCUCAUUAUGUUGCCCAGGCUGGUUUUGAACUCCUGGGCUCAAGUGAUCCUCCCACGUAGGCCUCCCAAAGUGCUGAGAUUAUAGACAUGAGCCACCACACCUGGCAGGU